UACAGAGGGGGCAAGCGUUGUUCGGAAUUACUGGGCGUAAAGGGCGUGUAGGCGGCCUUCUAAGUCGAACGUGAAAUCCCCGGGCUCAACCCGGGAACUGCGUCCGAUACUGGGGGGCUUGAAUCCGGGAGAGGGAUGUGGAAUUCCAGGUGUAGCGGUGAAAUGCGUAGAUAUCUGGAGGAACACCGGUGGCGAAGGCGGCAUCCUGGACCGGUAUUGACGCUGAGGCGCGAAAGCUAGGGGAGCAAACGGG
Molecule: ribosomal RNA, 253 nt
Filed under: uncultured bacterium
Lineage: Bacteria
Description: partial 16S ribosomal RNA
Rfam family: Bacterial small subunit ribosomal RNA
Source: RNAcentral